AAGGCCGAGAGCUGAUGACGAGUUACCCUUUGGGUGACGAAGUGGUUGAUGCCAUGCUUCCAAGAAAAGCUUCUAAGCUUCAGGUAACCAGGAACCGUACCCCAAACCGACACAGGUGGUUGGGUAGAGAAUACCAAGGCGCUUGAGAGAACUCGGGUGAAGGAACUAGGCAAAAUGGCACCGUAACUUCGGGAGAAGGUGCGCCGGUGAGGGUGAAGGACUUGCUCCGUAAGCUCAUGCCGGUCGAAGAUACCAGGCCGCUGCGACUGUUUAUUAAAAACACAGCACUCUGCAAACACGAAAGUGGACGUAUAGGGUGUGACGCCUGCCCGGUGCCGGAAGGUUAAUUGAUGGGGUUAGCUAACGCGAAGCUCUUGAUCGAAGCCCCGGUAAACGGCGGCCGUAACUAUAACGGUCCUAAGGUAGCGAAAUUCCUUGUCGGGUAAGUUCCGACCUGCACGAAUGGCGUAACGAUGGCGGCGCUGUCUCCACCCGAGACUCAGUGAAAUUGAAAUCGCUGUGAAGAUGCAGUGUAUCCGCGGCUAGACGGAAAGACCCCGUGAACCUUUACUAUAGCUUUGCACUGGACUUUGAAUUUGCUUGUGUAGGAUAGGUGGGAGGCUUUGAAGCGUGGACGCCAGUUCGCGUGGAGCCAUCCUUGAAAUACCACCCUGGCAACUUUGAGGUUCUAACUCAGGUCCGUUAUCCGGAUCGAGGACAGUGUAUGGUGGGUAGUUUGACUGGGGCGGUCUCCUCCUAAAGAGUAACGGAGGAGUACGAAGGUGCGCUCAGACCGGUCGGAAAUCGGUCGUAGAGUAUAAAGGCAAAAGCGCGCUUGACUGCGAGACAGACACGUCGAGCAGGUACGAAAGUAGGUCUUAGUGAUCCGGUGGUUCUGUAUGGAAGGGCCAUCGCUCAACGGAUAAAAGGUACUCCGGGGAUAACAGGCUGAUACCGCCCAAGAGUUCAUAUCGACGGCGGUGUUUGGCACCUCGAUGUCGGCUCAUCACAUCCUGGGGCUGAAGCCGGUCCCAAGGGUAUGGCUGUUCGCCAUUUAAAGUGGUACGCGAGCUGGGUUUAGAACGUCGUGAGACAGUUCGGUCCCUAUCUGCCGUGGACGUUUGAGAUUUGAGAGGGGCUGCUCCUAGUACGAGAGGACCGGAGUGGACGAACCUCUGGUGUUCCGGUUGUCACGCCAGUGGCAUUGCCGGGUAGCUAUGUUCGGGAAAGAUAACCGCUGAAAGCAUCUAAGCGGGAAACUUGCCUCAAGAUGAGAUCUCACUGGAACCUUGAGUUCCCUGAAGGGCCGUCGAAGACUACGACGUUGAUAGGUUGGGUGUGUAAGCGCUGUGAGGCGUUGAGCUAACCAAUACUAAUUGCCCGUGAGGCUUGACCAU
RNAcentral lists this ribosomal RNA (1397 nucleotides) under Pseudomonas koreensis. RNAcentral's name for it is "partial 23S ribosomal RNA". It matches the Rfam family "Bacterial large subunit ribosomal RNA", at positions 1552 to 2925 of the family's 2925-position model. The record is from RNAcentral. Lineage: Bacteria; Pseudomonadati; Pseudomonadota; Gammaproteobacteria; Pseudomonadales; Pseudomonadaceae.